UGAGCAAUCUGCCCUUCACAUCGGGAUAACCCCCGGAAACGGGAGCUAAUACCGGAUACGACCACUUCAGGCAUCUGAUGGUAGUGGAAAGUUCUGGCGGUGAAGGAUGAGCUCGCGGCCUAUCAGCUUGUUGGUGGGGUAAUGGCCCACCAAGGCUUCGACGGGUAGCCGGCCUGAGAGGGUGACCGGCCACACUGGGACUGAGACACGGCCCAGACUCCGUACGGGA
Molecule: ribosomal RNA, 229 nt
Filed under: uncultured bacterium
Lineage: Bacteria
Description: partial 16S ribosomal RNA
Rfam family: Bacterial small subunit ribosomal RNA
Source: RNAcentral